CGUGAACGCUGGCGGGAGGCCUAACACAUGCAAGUCGAACGGCAGCACAUUAAGAGCUUGCUCUCACGGGUGGCGAGUCGCGGACGGGUGCGGAAUACAUCGGAACCUACUCUUUCGCAGGGACUUACGCACCGAAACUUACCCUAAUACCGCAACCGACCUGCCGGUGUAAGCACGCGAUAUUCGGACCUUGCGCGAUUUGAUGAUCCGCUGUCGGAUUAGCUAGUUGGCGGGGUAAAGACCCACCAAGGCGACGAUCCGUAGCUGGUCUGAGAGGAUGAGCAGCCACACUGGAACUGAGACACGGUCCAGACUCGUACGGGGGGACGCAGUGGGGAAUAGUGGAAAGUGGGAGCAAGGCUGAUCCAGCAAUAGCGCAUGGGUGAAGAAGGCAUUGGGGUUGUAAGGCCCAUCUGUCGGGAAAGAAAAGCAGCAGGUUAAUAGGCCGCUGUUCUGACGGUACCCAAAGAAUAAGCACCGGCUAACUUCGUG
RNAcentral lists this ribosomal RNA (492 nucleotides) under uncultured bacterium. Its description in RNAcentral is "partial 16S ribosomal RNA". It matches the Rfam family "Bacterial small subunit ribosomal RNA", at positions 29 to 507 of the family's 1533-position model. The record is from RNAcentral.